Long non-coding RNA from Etheostoma spectabile (orangethroat darter), 652 nucleotides. RefSeq lists it as uncharacterized. The record is from RefSeq and is a predicted model, not a curated record. The transcript is spliced from 5 exons. NCBI's taxonomy places the organism in Eukaryota, Metazoa, Chordata, Actinopteri, Perciformes, Percidae.
AUUUGUGUUUACAGGAGGAUCUGGUGGUUGCAGGGAAAACCCUAUUUGGCAAGCAAAACUUUUCCUCCUUCCAGGGCCAGAUAAUGGUGUUCUGCCCCCCACAAAAGAACUUGAGGAACUGGCUAAACUUGGAUUAGGUAAAUGAAAACCAGUGCAUGAGUCAACCACGGCCAGACAUUCAAACUCAAAAAUUGGGUUAAACUGGAGUUUAUCUGAAUUGAACAACUUUGUUUGCCAAAGCUACCCUCGCAUCAGUUUAAAUUUGGUUGGCUUUGAAUUGGCAAGGACAGGCAAAGGACGCAAGAUCCAGAAAUUACAAGUGUGUUCUAUGAAGGAACUAAAAUCAGUUGUUGGCAAAAGCAGACUUUACAUCGUGCCACGAGCCACUGUCUUGCAGGUACCAUCACCACCCUCUGCCAUGACCCAAAAUUCAUUUGCACCAUUCGCAGCUCCAGUAGUAGAUGAGACUCCACAAGUGGUUUCAGAUCAGGUGGCACCCACAUCUUCUACCAUAUCCAUGAAUUCAUUCCCACAACUCUCAAUUGCUCCAGUACAAGAUGACACCAUGGCUAAUGGUACCCAAGCGCAAAAUGUGGUUGCAAAUCAGGCUCUUCAAGAAUUGCGAGCUAUACAUGCCCAGCAAGACCAGGAG